UGUGUUAUGGAAAGCCCAGCUUUCUCAGACAAACCUCUGCCAUUUCCCAGCAUGCAAGGCACUCAUGGAUUCUGGCACACCAUUCAGCGGUGAGAAGUAUGCUGAUGCCAUUGUAAAGCUACAGGAAAAAUUUGAUCACAGGUUGGCAGAUUUCAAGACACACCGAUACACUUUUCAAUU
Varanus komodoensis (Komodo dragon) is the source of this 180-nucleotide long non-coding RNA. RefSeq lists it as uncharacterized. The transcript is spliced from 5 exons. NCBI's taxonomy places the organism in Eukaryota, Metazoa, Chordata, Lepidosauria, Squamata, Varanidae. The record is from RefSeq and is a predicted model, not a curated record.